GACGAACGCUGGCGGCGUGCUUAACACAUGCAAGUCGAACGGAAAGGCCCCUUUGGGGGUCCUCGAGUGGCGAACGGGUGAGUAACACGUGAGUAACCUGCCCUUGACUUCGGGAUAACUUCAGGAAACUGGGGCUAAUACCGGAUAGGAAUCCUUGCUGCAUGGUGGGGGUUGGAAAGCUUCGGCGGUUUUGGAUGGACUCGCGGCUUAUCAGCUUGUUGGUGGGGUAGUGGCUUACCAAGGCUUUGACGGGUAGCCGGCCUGAGAGGGCGACCGGCCACAUUGGGACUGAGAUACGGCCCAGACUCCUACGGGAGGCAGCAGGGGGGAAUAUUGCACAAGGGGCGGAAGCCUGAUGCAGCAACGCCGCGUGCGGGAGGACGGCCUUCGGGUUGUAAACCGCUUUCAGCAGGGGCGAAGCUUGUGGUGACGGUACCUGCAGAAGAAGCACCGGCUAACUACGUG
This 465-nucleotide ribosomal RNA is filed under the name uncultured bacterium. RNAcentral's name for it is "partial 16S ribosomal RNA". It matches the Rfam family "Bacterial small subunit ribosomal RNA", at positions 28 to 507 of the family's 1533-position model. The record is from RNAcentral.